CAGAAAUGGGGGUUCCUUUGAGGACAAAGAAGGCAUUUCGGAUUUUCUUUUUGGUGAUUUAAGCAGUCAUCCUUUGAACUGAAGGGAGCCCCUAAAGCUU
This is a non-coding RNA of Amborella trichopoda, 100 nucleotides long. Lineage: Eukaryota; Viridiplantae; Streptophyta; Magnoliopsida; Amborellales; Amborellaceae. The record is from Rfam.